This is a long non-coding RNA of Nymphaea colorata (pocket water lily), 1124 nucleotides long. RefSeq lists it as uncharacterized. The transcript has 2 exons. The record is from RefSeq and is a predicted model, not a curated record. NCBI's taxonomy places the organism in Eukaryota, Viridiplantae, Streptophyta, Magnoliopsida, Nymphaeales, Nymphaeaceae.
AGUCGCCGCCUCUGCAGAUAAGCUCUCUUUCUCCGUCUCUCUUCCCGUCAGGCUUAGCUGGUCUUUGAAACCAAGGGAAGAGAAGAGAAGAGAAGAGAAGGAAGAGCAAGCAGGGCAACGAACGCAAGAAGGAGAGGAUGCUGCAGUCCGGCCGUAGAACUAUGGUCAAGGUUGGGCUUAUUGUCUUGGCCUGCUUUGUAGUAGCAACCUAUGGCCAGCUGCCGGCAGUGGCACCCGCCCCCCCGUCGCAACCACAGUCCCCAGCCCCUGCCAACAUCCUCGAAAUCGAUGAUCCACCUUCCGGCACGGGUACCCCUCUUGCCUCCGCACCUACAGCACCCGCUCCAUUGGCUCCCGGCGCCACGCCUGCCCCCCCACUCCCCUCAGGCUUCCUUCUCCACCUGUGCUCUCCCCGCCGGCCCCCGACGUCGCAGUCGACGCCCCACCGACCUCCGCUCCCCCUGCCGAGGCGCCACCGUCAAGUCCAGCCGAUGCACCGCCAGCAUCGACCCCGGCCGACGCGCCACCAACAACGACUCCGGCCGACGCGCCACCAGAACCAACUCCGACCGAUGGGCCACCUUCAGCGACUCCGGCCGACGCGCCACCGGAACCUACUCCGACCGAUGCGCCACCUUCAGCGACUCCGGCCGACGCCCCACCGGAAGCAACUCCGACAGACGCGCCACCGACUUUAGCACCGGUGCUACAGAAGAACGCGACGAAUCCGUCACCUCCUCACGCAUUGCUUGGCCCUUCUCUGGCCGCCACUGCUCCGACUUCUAUUCCUAAUAAAGCUGGUGGAGCAAUGGUAAGAAUGACUGUGAAGAGGAUAAUGGCGGCGGGCUUCGCUCUUGUUUUGGUUCUCCCACUUGCUCGUUGAGAGCCGUAGCAAUGCCGUUAUGUUCAUCAUCAUCAUAUCUCCUUUUGUUUUGGUUUCUCUCUCUCUCGCUUCUUCUUCUUCUCUCCUUUGAGUGCUAGAAGUUCCAAAUUCCCUCGGCCUUCUAGGUGGUGAUAUGUAUUUUUCAGAUUCUCUUGAGUGAAUCUGAGCUUGAAUAUUGAUUCGGAUUUGCAACUUCACCUUGUUGAUCCUUUUUAAUAUUAUAUCAUUCUGUUUCUGUUUA